This is a long non-coding RNA of Mytilus californianus (California mussel), 928 nucleotides long. RefSeq lists it as uncharacterized. NCBI's taxonomy places the organism in Eukaryota, Metazoa, Mollusca, Bivalvia, Mytilida, Mytilidae. The record is from RefSeq and is a predicted model, not a curated record. The transcript has 3 exons.
GUAGAUUUACAUGUAAACAUAAGAAGGGAUUAAUUAGGACGACGAUAAAGUUAAUAUAUACGUCAGAUCUCAUUAAGAUGUCAGCAAUAAGAACCAGAAUUUGCGACAAAGCAGACAGUGGCAGAGAUGAAAACUUGGCUACUGUUAUAAAACGAAUGAAAUCAAGUUUUGAAAAGCAAGACUUAGCACUUAUUGUUAAUGGAGAAAGGCUGUUUAUAAACAAAGCUGAAUUAAUGGAAAAGUCGCCUGUUUUCAAGACUAUGUUAACUGCAGAUUUUAAGGAGAAAAACGCGACUGAAAUAGAAUUGCCAAAUAAGGACUUGUAUCAUUUUUUAUUGUUUCUAAGAUGUACACUGGACGGGUAUGAAGAUAAAAUAAACGGCACAAAUGUUCACUCCAUCAUUCCACUGGCACAUGAAUAUCAGGUGGAGAAAACUUUGGAUAAAGCUGAUUCGUUCUUGUCAAAGAAACACAAAGAUACCGGAUUUGACAAAUGUCGAUGUCAAAUGAUAGUUGAUGGUAUUGUUGAAGCUGAAAAAUUCGGUCUUACUGAAACUUUGAACAUGUUGAUUGAUUUUGCAUCAAGAAAAAAGUUUUCAGUCUUUUCAAAAGCAAAAGGUUUCGAUGUAAUUACCACCCAAACUUUAUUUACAAUAUCGAUGACGAGAUGGCAAAAUGAUAUUGAUGCUCAUACUGGCAAAACAAGUUUUUCGCAAUAUUAUGUAAGUGGCGUUUCAGAAUAAUAGUUUUAUUUCAAUAUCCAUCAUUUUGAGUAAAGCAGUUAAAACACGUUAUAUCAAUGUUAUCUCAACAUUCCUCUUGCAAUUUUGUUCGGUAUUUUGCUUGAUUAUAAGUCAGUUCAGUAACUCUCUAUGUGAUGAAUGAUUUUGUACCAAAAAGACUACCUUUUAUAAUAAAAUGGAUACAU